UUGUCAUAUAUUUUAUGUACA
This 21-nucleotide non-coding RNA is filed under the name Caenorhabditis elegans. Lineage: Eukaryota; Metazoa; Nematoda; Chromadorea; Rhabditida; Rhabditidae. The record is from RNAcentral.